GAUCCUUGUGGGCCGCGUGUUCACUUAGUUUUAAAAUGUAACAUUAUCUAUGUUUUAUUAUAUUUUUAUUUAUUUUAUAAGUAUUUGGCAAUUAAAUUUUAAUCUGGUUCAGGCCACACUCAGGAGUGUUGUGGGCCUCAUGUAGCCCCUGGGGAUAAUAAUCAUCACAGUACCAACUUCAUAGGAUUGUUGUGAAGAAAAUACUUUCUAAACUUCAGCAAGGUAUAAGUCUGAAAGUCAAGAGAUCUGGGUUGUGGUCCUACUCUGGCUACUAAAUUAUUAGUGUGACUUUGGAUGUGGAGGUGUUCCCCAUGGGACCUGGGAAUUUGAGCCAUGGUGACCUUGGAGCCAGGAUUACAGGGAUCUAAGACAUCUCCAGAGGCCUCGUGAUGGAAAAUGC
This is a long non-coding RNA of Phascolarctos cinereus (koala), 400 nucleotides long. RefSeq lists it as uncharacterized. NCBI's taxonomy places the organism in Eukaryota, Metazoa, Chordata, Mammalia, Diprotodontia, Phascolarctidae. The record is from RefSeq and is a predicted model, not a curated record.